UUGUGUAAAAUUACAAUUUUUUCCUUAGCCCUAAUUUCAAUUCCCUUUCUACUUUUUUUCGCACAAAGUUUGGAAGCUCCAGCCCACCUUCCCCACGACACCACCGGUGCCCAAGCUCCAGCCACCGUCGCCCCAAGCCACCCACCACCGUUCAGCCCCAUCCUUCAUCACCGGCGCAAUAUUGGAAGAGAUUCGUUGUCCAGUGAGUGGCGGAAACUCUCGCCACUCACCAGAAUCUAUUCCGGCCGUUUAUUGCUCAUCGACGGAGAGUCCUAGCUUCGGCCGCCUAUUUCCUUGCGUCGUCGCCGAUUCCUGCACUCGGCCGCCUAGUUCCUUCCUUGCGUCGUCGCCGAUUCCUGCACUCGGCCGCCUAUUUCCUUGCCUCGUCGUCGAUUCCCGUCCACAGCCGCCGCAUUCCCCUAAAAUUGCGAUCUAACAGUUAGCUGCCAUAUCCAAGCCGGAGCUGCCGGUCAGAAUCUCUCACUUCUGUUCUUCUUCCACUCUUUCCUCUUUUUAAUUUCAUUGAUUUUGGGAUGGGAAUUCGUGACAGAGUUUCCUUUUGUUGUGCUUUGAAAAAAAUUAUGUGAGGGUAUGUUUUAGGGGUACGAGCAAUUUCUUACAUUCCUGAUCAAAUUGGUUUGAUUAGAUGAGACUUUUCGUGAUUUGGUUGUUUUGGGGAUUCAAAGUAGUAAUUUUAGCUAGCUCUAACUAUGGAGGUUUUAGCACCAAAUAUACAAGGUUUUUGUUUUGGGGCCAGAUAAGCAGUUUAUCCUUUCACUUUUUCCCAUGAAUUGCAAACCCGAAGAAGCUUAUUUAUUUGUUGCAUCAAGAAAAUGGAUAUACUAAUAAUGAUAGCAAGCUGUUUAGCCAAUUUGAUGCUUGUUCAACCUGCAUUAUUAAUUAACUGAAACUUGAUUGAAUUAGAAUGUUCGCUUCAGUUGUGAGAUUGAUUAUAGCAGUUUGUUUGAUGCUUGUGCUGCUUGUGCAAAGUAAUUGAAACAUGAAGCCUUGAAAUCUUAUCAGCCAGCUUGGCCAUCUAUUAUCUGUGAAGCCGUACAGCCUGAUCACUAUUUCUUUUAACUAAUUCUAGCUCGUUCUUGGCUUAACUGGAGACCACCUGGAAGCUUUUUUGUAUUCUUUUCAGGAUGACUUUC
This 1154-nucleotide long non-coding RNA is filed under the name Salvia miltiorrhiza (redroot sage). Its description in RNAcentral is "long non-coding RNA (SMIL_LNC014225)". The record is from RNAcentral. Lineage: Eukaryota; Viridiplantae; Streptophyta; Magnoliopsida; Lamiales; Lamiaceae.